Ribosomal RNA from Cebus imitator (Panamanian white-faced capuchin), 119 nucleotides. Lineage: Eukaryota; Metazoa; Chordata; Mammalia; Primates; Cebidae. The record is from Ensembl.
GUCUAUGGCCAUACCACCUUAAACGUGCCCAAUCUUGUCUAAUGUCAGAAGUUUAGCAGGACUGGGGCUGGUUAAUACUUGGAUGGGAGACUGCCUGGGAAUACUAGGUGCUAUAGGCU